This 23-nucleotide non-coding RNA is filed under the name Mus musculus (house mouse). The record is from RNAcentral. Lineage: Eukaryota; Metazoa; Chordata; Mammalia; Rodentia; Muridae.
UACCUUAGUUGCCUGCAAUUCUU